AACGCACCUUGCGCCUUUUGGUAUUCCGAAAGGCAUGCCUGUUUGAGUGUCAUGAAAUAUCAACCCCUCCUGGUUUCUGAUCAGUGUUGGGCUUGGACUUGGGUGUCUGCCAGCUCGCUGGCUCGCCUUAAAAGAGUUAGUGGUAAUAACAUCCACGGCUAAGACGUAAUAAGUUUCGUCUGGUCAAGGUGGGACGACUGCUCAUAACCCGACCGCAAGGUCAUUAUUUUAUGCUCUGACCUCAAAUCAGGUAGGACUACCCGCUGAACUUAA
Molecule: unclassified non-coding RNA, 273 nt
Filed under: uncultured Bulleromyces
Lineage: Eukaryota; Fungi; Basidiomycota; Tremellomycetes; Tremellales; Tremellaceae
Description: sequence contains ITS2
Rfam family: 5.8S ribosomal RNA (bases 1-52)
Source: RNAcentral